CCUUCCCCUUGGGGGGGCAGCAGUGGGGAAUAUUGCGCAAUGGGGGAAACCCUGACGCAGCGACGCCGCGUGCGGAAAGAAGGCCUUCGGGUCGUAAACCGCUGUCAGGAGGGAAGAAACUGUUAGGGUAUAAUACGCCCUUUCACUGACGGUACCUCCAAAGGAAGCACCGGUUAAUUCCGUGCCAGCAGCCGCGGUAAUACGGAGGGUGCGAGCGUUAAUCGGAAUCACUGGGCGUAAAGCGCACGUAGGCGGCGCAUCAAGUCAGGCGUGAAAGCCCUCGGCUCAACCGGGGAAUUGCGUUUGAAACUGGUGUGCUGGAGUCUCGGAGAGGUUGGCGGAAUUCCAGGUGUAGGAGUGAAAUCCGUAGAUAUGGGGAGGAACACCGGUGGGGAAGGCGGCCACUGGACGAGUACUGACGCUGAGGUGGGAAAGCGUCAAACCAAACAGGAUUAGAUACCGUGGUAGUCCACGCUGUAAACGAUGGAUAUUAGGGUCGGGGGUUACCUUCGGUCCGCAGUAACGCGUUACUAUCCCCCCUGCGUCUUUCCUGA
RNAcentral lists this ribosomal RNA (554 nucleotides) under uncultured bacterium. Its description in RNAcentral is "bacterial SSU rRNA". It matches the Rfam family "Bacterial small subunit ribosomal RNA", at positions 332 to 887 of the family's 1533-position model. The record is from RNAcentral.